RNAcentral lists this unclassified non-coding RNA (215 nucleotides) under Hevea brasiliensis (rubber tree). Lineage: Eukaryota; Viridiplantae; Streptophyta; Magnoliopsida; Malpighiales; Euphorbiaceae. The record is from RNAcentral.
ACGCCUGACCGCGUCUCGUUCGGCAACACGAUCAAGAAGGAGCGUGAUAUCGCGCGCGCCUACGCGCUCGGCAUCCGCAUGUUCGCGGUCGAUUGCUCCGCCGAAGUCGAGAAGGUCGCCCGUGCUGCGCCCGGCGCGAAGGUGUUCUGCCGCAUUCUCUACGAUUGCGCAGGCGCCGAGUGGCCGCUGUCGCGCAAGUUCGGUUGCGAUCCGGA